This 453-nucleotide long non-coding RNA is filed under the name Haliotis rubra (blacklip abalone). Its description in RNAcentral is "uncharacterized LOC124268417". The record is from RNAcentral. Lineage: Eukaryota; Metazoa; Mollusca; Gastropoda; Lepetellida; Haliotidae.
UGGUUGUCUUGGUCUGUAUGCUGUGGACAUCCACUGGUUGUCUUGGUCUGUAUGCUGGUGGACAUCCACUGGUUGUCUUGACCUGUAUGCUGGUGGACCUCCACUGGUUGUCUAGACCUGUAUGCCGGUUUACAUCCACAGGUUGUCUUGGUCUGUAUGCUGGUGGACAUCCACUGGUUGUCUUGGUCUGUAUGCUGGUGGACAUCCACUGGUUGUCUUCACCUGUAUGCUGGUGGACAUCCACAGGUGGUCUUGGUCUGUAUGCUGGUGGACAUCCACUGGUUGUCUUCACCUGUAUGCUGGUGUAUAUCUAGUUAUGACAUAACUACAAUGGCUAUUCAUACUGUUUUAGGUAUGUUUUGUGCUAUGACUGAUACUAUUGUACUUGCUUAUUACCAUAUAUUGAUUAUUAAUCUCUCAGACAAUAUUUGGAGAAAUAAACUCUAAGACACC